ACAGGCCACAUACUUUUUUCUAAGUCCAUUUUGCCAUAAAAAGGAUUGUUUCUCUCAUCACUGAAGGAAAUGAUUAUCCCAUUGGGAAAAAAGGGAGAAGGGGUGAGCCAGAGGAUGAAUCACUGUACCUAAGAUCUUAAAUCUGCAUUUUCUUGAAUAAGACAGCUAGACAGCCUAAAUAAUCUGAUUUCACUUAGAAUCUUUAUUAAUGUCCUGUUCUCACACUUCCUCUGUCAUGGUAAACCUGCUCAGUAGGCAUUGUUUCGCCAACUUUGGGGGAGCAAUUUAUUUGGCCAGUGUGUGUAUAUACACAGAAUUUGAGAUCAGACCCUGGUUCAUUUACAACAAUUUUACAACUUUAA
Non-coding RNA from Callorhinus ursinus (northern fur seal), 362 nucleotides. NCBI's taxonomy places the organism in Eukaryota, Metazoa, Chordata, Mammalia, Carnivora, Otariidae. The record is from RefSeq and is a predicted model, not a curated record.